GGAAUCUUGCGCAAUGGUCGAACGACUGACGCAGCGACGCCGCGUGUGGGAUGACGCCUUUCGGGGUGUAAACCACUGUUGCCCGGGACGAACAGCGCUUUUCGAGGCGCCUGACGGUACCGGGUGAGGAAGCACCGGCUAACUCCGUGCCAGCAGCCGCGGUAAUACGGAGGGUGCGAGCGUUGUCCGGAAUCACUGGGCGUAAAGGGCGCGUAGGCGGCAGGGGAAGUCGGCGGUGAAAGCCCGGAGCUCAACUCCGGGUCGGCCGUCGAGACUCCUCAGCUCGAGCACUGUAGAGGCAGAUGGAAUUCCGGGUGUAGCGGUGGAAUGCGUAGAGAUCCGGAAGAACACCGGUGGCGAAGGCGGUCUGCUGGGCAGUAGCUGACGCUGAGGCGCGACAGCGUGGGGAGCAAA
This 414-nucleotide ribosomal RNA is filed under the name uncultured bacterium. RNAcentral describes it as "bacterial SSU rRNA". It matches the Rfam family "Bacterial small subunit ribosomal RNA", at positions 358 to 772 of the family's 1533-position model. The record is from RNAcentral.